This 210-nucleotide long non-coding RNA is filed under the name Elaeis guineensis (African oil palm). RNAcentral's name for it is "long non-coding RNA (EGUI_LNC005726)". Lineage: Eukaryota; Viridiplantae; Streptophyta; Magnoliopsida; Arecales; Arecaceae. The record is from RNAcentral.
GGGUUUACUCGUGAUUGAGGUGUUUCCGAUUAAUCAGCUGUUUUGAUCUGAUUGUUUUGGGCGCAAUUUUAUUGAGUCUAUUUAUGGGGUCUAGUUAUGUGACCAUGCACACCAACUGAUGGUCCACACCUAGGGUUGGAGUCAAGUUGAGAUUGCGCUGAAUCCAUGUUGGCAGAAGGUACGCCCAAUCCAUUUGCAGGCGUAGGGCCC